AUUGAACGCUGGCGGCAGGCCUAACACAUGCAAGUCGAACGAGUGGCGGACGGGUGAGUAAUGUCUGGGAAACUGCCUGAUGGAGGGGGAUAACUACUGGAAACGGUAGCUAAUACCGCAUAACAUCCGAUGUGCCCAGAUUGGAUUAGCUAGUUGGUGGGGUAACGGCUUACCAAGGCGACGAUCCCUAGCUGGUCUGAGAGGAGGACCAGCCACACGGGAACUGAGACACGGUCCAGACUCCUACGGGAGGCAGCAGUGGGGAAUAUUGGACAAUGGGAGAAAGCCUGAUGCAGCAAUGCCGCGUGUGUGAAGAAGGUUUUCGGGUUGUAAAGUACUUUCAGCGGGGAGGCGUUAUCCGCAGAAGAAGCACCGGCUAACUCCGUGCCAGCAGCCGCGGUAAUAC
This 406-nucleotide ribosomal RNA is filed under the name uncultured bacterium. RNAcentral's name for it is "partial 16S ribosomal RNA". It matches the Rfam family "Bacterial small subunit ribosomal RNA", at positions 30 to 526 of the family's 1533-position model. The record is from RNAcentral.